UAACCAUUCCUUCCAAACGCAAGCCAAACACACAAUUUAUUUAGGGUUUUGACUCAACAGCCUUUAAUUUCUAAGGCUAUUUCAGCACCAGUACACCAUUAAAUUUGGUGAGGUGUAUGGAAACAGCCUUUAUUUCAAUUGAAAUCAACACUUCAAAGACCAUUUUCAUUUGUGAAUCCGCAUUUCUAUCCCCGAUUUCAACGGAGAAGCAAAGGGAUCUCAUCAAUGCAUUUAGUAAAGGAUCAUCCUUACGGAGGAGCGGGGAGAGGCAUGCUUGAACGAAGCCGUGCGAGGAAUCUGCUCGUGAGACCUGACCCCAUGGCACUGCUCUGGCAUGUUCUAGAAGCUUCUGGUGCUUGGCUGCUGGGAUUCCCUUUGAAUUUGGGCUAUUCGGGCUAGGGAUUUUAGAAUUUGAGUUGAAAUUGCAUUUGGGCUGGUAAAAUUUGUAAAAGGACAUUGGUAUUUGGAUUUUCUUGUUUGUGUGUUUUUUUA
Long non-coding RNA from Gossypium arboreum, 492 nucleotides. RefSeq lists it as uncharacterized. The transcript is spliced from 2 exons. The record is from RefSeq and is a predicted model, not a curated record. NCBI's taxonomy places the organism in Eukaryota, Viridiplantae, Streptophyta, Magnoliopsida, Malvales, Malvaceae.